Molecule: transfer RNA, 72 nt
Filed under: Camelus ferus (Wild Bactrian camel)
Lineage: Eukaryota; Metazoa; Chordata; Mammalia; Artiodactyla; Camelidae
Rfam family: tRNA
About the family: Transfer RNA (tRNA) molecules are approximately 80 nucleotides in length.
Source: Rfam by way of RNAcentral
GAGGGUAUAGCUCAGUGGCAGGGCACAUGCUUAGCAUACGCCAAGUCCUGGGUUCAAUGCCCAGUACCUCCA